ACGAGCCUAUGUAGCGAAUCAAAUUGUUCAAGCAUGUCUUAUGAUUCAACUUCAUUUAGACAUCAAAGCUACAAGUUGGACUGAAAUAACAACUGAUAAAUCAUUGAAUUAAUACAGGUUAUAUGCAAAUUAUGGGGUGAAGCAUUUUCCUGCCUUGUAUGGAUGAGAUUGCUAACACAGGUGGUACUCUACCGAAGUUUAUACCUAUCUCUCUGCAGUUCCUGUCCCUUCGGCAAAGACAGUGCAAAAGAAUGUGCAAUUCCUAUCCAUGCAUUUGAUAUUUUAGAUAACAGUUAUUUUACCUGCCUUUCUCCUUGAAUUCGGUAAUUUUUCUUUCUCAGAAUACAAUAAUGAUGAGGUACGAGCUCAUCAAAGUCGAUGGGAAGCCGGUCAGGGAUUCCACCGGGAAGAAGCUACUCUUGAGAGAUCAGUUGGGGAAUGAUGUAUUCAUUGAUGAGGCGCUCAUCUCUUUCGAACCUGAAGCUCCACAAGAAGCUCCCAAUUCAACUUUGCAAAAAAAAUCAGCAGAGACGAAACAAAAUGCAGAAGUUGAAGAGAAAUUUUGGAGCAGAAAUUUAGCAAAGCCAGAAGAGUUUCAUUCUCUCCCGGUCAAAAAUGUCCAAGAACUCCUCAUAAAAAUAUUCGGAGAUCCAAAAAUCCAACAAUUAUUUAAGGAUACCGUAACCCGUAAGAGUAAGGUUUGGGAGCUUGUAGCGGAAAGUUUGCAGAAAGCCGGAUACCCUUUGACACAAAAAGGACCAAGAUCACCCGGCAAACAAUGCGAUGAUAAAUGGAGACAGCUAAAAGCUCAGUAUUACAAACACAAGAAUCCCAAGACUGGGGAAGGGGCCAAAACUCCACUGCCUUACUAUGACCUAGUGGAUUCAAUCAUAGGAGAUGAUCAACUAACUUCACCCAAGCAUACCAGAGAUACACUGAACUCUUCAAACAAUUCUAGGAGCAGUGAAACAGCUGCAGCACCGUCUCCAAGUAACAGUGUCGAACAACCUCAACAGAAC
Molecule: long non-coding RNA, 1019 nt
Filed under: Bemisia tabaci
Lineage: Eukaryota; Metazoa; Arthropoda; Insecta; Hemiptera; Aleyrodidae
Description: lncRNA ENSSSA2NGG009934
Source: RNAcentral